Molecule: ribosomal RNA, 442 nt
Filed under: uncultured bacterium
Lineage: Bacteria
Description: partial 16S ribosomal RNA
Rfam family: Bacterial small subunit ribosomal RNA
Source: RNAcentral
CCUACGGGUGGCAGCAGUGGGGAAUAUUUGGCAAUGGGGGAAACCCUGAUGAAGCAACGCCGCGUGAAGGAAUAAGGGUUUCGGGUUGUAAACUCCUUUUAAGAGGGAAGCGAAUAAGAAGGUACGUCUUGAAUAAGCAACGGAGAACUACGUGUCAGCAGCCGCGGUAGUACGUACGUGGCAAGCGUUGUCCGGAUUUACUGGGUGGAAAUGCCGUGCAGCGGGGAAGACAAGUCAGAUGUGAAAUCCGGGGGCUCAACCGCGGAACUGCAUUUGAAAAUGUUUUUCUUGAGUACCGGAGAGGUCAUCGGAAUUCCUUGUGUAGCGGUGAAAUGCGUAGAUAUAAGGAAGAACACCAGUGGCGAAGGCGGAUGACUGGACGGCAACUGACGGUGAGGCGCGAAAGCGUGGGGAGCAAACAGGAUUAGAUACCCUUGUAGUC